Molecule: long non-coding RNA, 548 nt
Organism: Brassica rapa (field mustard)
Lineage: Eukaryota; Viridiplantae; Streptophyta; Magnoliopsida; Brassicales; Brassicaceae
Source: RefSeq, a predicted model, not a curated record
UUCUUCUUCCUCCACACGAUUUUAUACUUCUUAUUUUCUUCUUCUUCUGUACCUCUUCGAUCUCCUCAUCUAAUCUCAUCUCUCUUAUCCUCUUCCCAUCUCUCUUUCUCCUCUGCUCAUCUUUCAUUUACUUUUCUUCUUUCAAGCAAAUGGAUCUGAACGAAGAGGAUUACCACCGUCAUGCUUCUCACCACCAUGCUCCUUUCUAUUCGGUUGCGCCCUUCACCACCGCACGCUCGUCAACACCACCACCGGAAAGUGGAGGAGGCACAGGAUUGAUGAAUGAGGCACAGGAGAUUGAUGGAGGAGGUAGCAGUGGUGGGUCGUGAGCAGAGCCGGCUUGAAUGUUGAAGACGAAGAAGCUCGGUGAGGAGGCCGCAGGCGGCGGAGAAUAUACAUUAGGUUUAGAUUAGGGUUAGGUAUAUUUUUAAUUUGGUUUAGUAUGCUAAACCGAUUUUAUUUAUUAAUAGUUUGAUAAAUCGUUUUAAAUUUUGUAAGCCAAUUUGAUAUAUAAAAUAUAAUUUAAUAAUAUUUUUUUAUUUCGUAAA